CUCAGGAAGAACUCAAGGGCACGACUUGACUGGGCACGGUAGCUGAAGAACACAGGAAUCCUCACAUAGGCUUCUAGCCCUUCUGCCUCCCCGCAGGUCUGCAAGUCUGUGCCUGAGAAC
RNAcentral lists this microRNA precursor (120 nucleotides) under Microtus ochrogaster (prairie vole). RNAcentral's name for it is "miRNA (ENSMOCG00000010674.1)". Lineage: Eukaryota; Metazoa; Chordata; Mammalia; Rodentia; Cricetidae. The record is from RNAcentral.